This 497-nucleotide ribosomal RNA is filed under the name uncultured bacterium. RNAcentral describes it as "partial 16S ribosomal RNA". It matches the Rfam family "Bacterial small subunit ribosomal RNA", at positions 28 to 507 of the family's 1533-position model. The record is from RNAcentral.
GAUGAACGCUGGCGGCGUGCCUAAUACAUGCAAGUCGAGCGAACAGACGAGGAGCUUGCUCCUCUGACGUUAGCGGCGGACGGGUGAGUAACACGUGGAUAACCUACCUAUAAGACUGGGAUAACUUCGGGAAACCGGAGCUAAUACCGGAUAAUAUAUUGAACCGCAUGGUUCAAUAGUGAAAGACGGUUUUGCUGUCACUUAUAGAUGGAUCCGCGCCGCAUUAGCUAGUUGGUAAGGUAACGGCUUACCAAGGCAACGAUGCGUAGCCGACCUGAGAGGGGGAUCGGCCACACUGGAACUGAGACACGGUCCAGACUCCUACGGGAGGCAGCAGUAGGGAAUCUUCCGCAAUGGGCGAAAGCCUGACGGAGCAACGCCGCGUGAGUGAUGAAGGUCUUCGGAUCGGAAAGCUCUGUUAUUAGGGAAGAACAAAUGUGUAAGUAACUAUGCACGUCUUGACGGUACCUAAUCAGAAAGCCACGGCUAACUACGUG